GCAGCCGCGGUAAUACGGGGGAUGCAAGCGUUAUCCGGAUUUAUUGGGUUUAAAGGGUGCGUAGGCGGCGUCUUAAGUCAGCGGUGAAAUUUAGGGGCUCAACCUCUACCGUGCCGUUGAUACUGGGAUGCUGGAAUGCGGAUGCCGUGGGAGGAAUGUGUGGUGUAGCGGUGAAAUGCAUAGAUAUCACACAGAACACCGAUUGCGAAGGCAUCUCACGAAUCCGCUAUUGACGCUGAGGCACGAAAGCGUGGGGAUCAAACAGGAUUAGAUACCCC
This 278-nucleotide ribosomal RNA is filed under the name uncultured Rikenellaceae bacterium. RNAcentral's name for it is "partial 16S ribosomal RNA". It matches the Rfam family "Bacterial small subunit ribosomal RNA", at positions 511 to 788 of the family's 1533-position model. The record is from RNAcentral. Lineage: Bacteria; Pseudomonadati; Bacteroidota; Bacteroidia; Bacteroidales; Rikenellaceae.